RNAcentral lists this ribosomal RNA (522 nucleotides) under uncultured bacterium. Its description in RNAcentral is "bacterial SSU rRNA". It matches the Rfam family "Bacterial small subunit ribosomal RNA", at positions 9 to 526 of the family's 1533-position model. The record is from RNAcentral.
GAGUUUGAUCCUGGCUCAGGAUGAACGCUGGCGGCGUGCCUAACACAUGCAAGUCGAACGAAGCACUAAGAGUUUGAGAUUUCGGUCAAGAACUUUCUUUGACUUAGUGGCGGACGGGUGAGUAAUGCGUGAGCAACCUGCCUUUCAGAGGGGGACAACAGUUGGAAACGACUGCUAAUACCGCAUGAUAUAUUCGGAUGGCAUCGUCUGAAUAUCAAAGAUUUAUCGCUGAAAGAUGGGCUCACGUCUGAUUAGUUAGUUGGUGAGGUAACGGCUCACCAAGACUGCGAUCAGUAGCCGGACUGAGAGGUUGAACGGCCACAUUGGGACUGAGAUACGGCCCAGACUCCUACGGGAGGCAGCAGUGGGGAAUAUUGGGCAAUGGGCGAAAGCCUGACCCAGCAACGCCGCGUGAAGGAAGAAGGUCUUCGGAUUGUAAACUUCUUUUAUCAGGGACGAAGUAAGUGACGGUACCUGAUGAAUAAGCCACGGCUAACUACGUGCCAGCCGCCGCGGUAAUUC